RNAcentral lists this long non-coding RNA (9497 nucleotides) under Zea mays. RNAcentral's name for it is "long non-coding RNA (ZMAY_LNC003557)". The record is from RNAcentral. Lineage: Eukaryota; Viridiplantae; Streptophyta; Magnoliopsida; Poales; Poaceae.
AAAAGUCUAAGCUCCUCUUCCCAGCCACCAACUCGAUCUGCCCUAGUCUUCCCAUCUCCUACUUAAUUCAAGGUCCAGUAGGUCGUGCAGUCCUAGAGCUCGAGUGAUCUCCUUGGCUCUUGUAGCCUAUGUUUCCCCGGAGUUAAUCCCCUCCCAAUAUCUUGGUCCAUCUGCCCAGAGCUUGGUGUACCAGUCCCUAGGUGGUGACCAUCGUCGGCAGUUAGUCCACCUCGCCGUGACCAGGUAACUUCAAGGGUUUCCUCAGUCGAGUUGUGCAUAUUUUGUGCUCUGCAUAAGAUAGAGAAGCUCAUAUGAUGCUAAACCAUUCUCCUUAAGUAGGUUUGGUUUGGGGUGUAUGGAAAAUAGAGUGAAAGCUGCCCAAAAAUGGACUGUGAGUUUGCAUUGACUGAAUUUUUGUUCAGAUUAGCUGAAAACUGGAUUGCAGUAGAUUGCUCAGUUUGGACCUCUCCUAUGACCAGUUCAUGAGGUUUUGGGUUACCAGUUGUAUAGAAAAGUCAAAGACCAGAUGAAGGUGAACAAGCUUCAUCAGAGAAGUGGGGCUUACUACUGUGUAAAAUAUGGAGAAAUAUGUGCUGCAAUUUUCUAUGUCAGGUGUUGUGUUCAGGUCUUUUUCAGUUAGCUGAAAUUUAGCCUUUGUGUUUCCACCUCAAGUUUGGUGCUCUGUAACUUGAGAUCUGUUUAGGGUUAGCUAGUAGCUGUUGUAACAAAGUUGGAGAGAGAUUAUAGAGGAACCAUUCAUAGUAAGGAAAUACAUUGAGCCCUCAUAUGGAAUUGCGAGAAAAUAGUGUUACAAAACCCUCUGUCAGACUUGGAGUGGGCUGUUUCAGCUAACUGAAAACCAGUUCAGGGUGUUGUUUAGUCAACUUUGGAGCUCUGUGGUAAUUAAUAAAACCAGAAUUGGGUUAAGAGUUUUAUAGAAAGGUGAAAGACCAAGUGUAGGAGAACCAGUUUUAUACAAGUAGAUUGGCUUGUUGAUUUAUGGAAUUUAGAGAAAAGCCUGUUGCAAAACUCUCUGACAGACAUGGUAAGGUGCUGUUUCAGAUCGAGGAACUGAACUUUUCAGUGUUUUGCUCUAACUUUUGUGCACCAUAGCUACUGUUCUAAGUAUUUUCAGCUUAGGGGUUUUAUACCAAAUGGGAAGGGCUAUAGUAGGAGAGUAAUAUUGGUUCACAAAGGUUGGUUGGUUGUUGAGAAGAAUUGUUAGAUAUCUAGGCUUGAACAAAGAAGAAAGCAAAAGGGAGCAGUAUUGCUAAUGAACUGGAUUCAGUUAACUGAAAACUGGAAUUUCACUGUUGGUGCUCAGCUUGGAGCUCUUUGGUGACCAAAUCAUGGGGUUUUAGGUUAGGAGUUCCAUAACAAAGUGAAAUACCAAGGUAAGGCAAACAAGUUUCAUGUGAAUAGUUGGGCUUGUUACGGUGAAGAAAUUGGGGAGAGGAAUGGAGCAAUGGAAGAUGAAUUCAGAGACCUGAAAGCAGGUUCAGUGAAUUGUGGCUGAUUCUUGGACACUAUAACUUGUAGUGCAUGCAGUUUGGAUCCUUGCUUAAGGCAUAAAUGAAGUGCUUGGUUGGUUAUGGAGGCAAGGUUUCCUAGUUUAGUUGGUGAAUUGAGUUGUGAUAUUAGAGUAUUUAGCUCUCUUAAGGUUUAUUAGUUUUUGUGUGCACGUUUAGAAAGGUGUAAGUCUUGUGAUGCUUUUUAGUAUUUUCUUGUCAAGUUGCAUCAGCAUAAGCAUUCAUGUUCAUAUCUUUACAUGUAGAAUUCCCAGAAGAAGAAGAUGAAAUUCAAGAAGUGGUUUCUAAAGAGGAGUCUGCUUCAGUGCCUGCUCAUCAAGUGAUGGGAGUCAUCUAACUGGGGUUUAAUAGAGGGAUUUAGACCUCUGUCUCUGCAACAAAGGCAAGCCCCGGUGCAUUUGCCACCUUCCUUGUAUUAUAAAAUUUUAUCACUUAUAUGCUGCAUUAGGUAAUAUGAGUUGAAUGAUUAAACAUUUGAUGCAUUACCAUCCUUGAAAGAUUGAUUAUCAUACCUUGUUACCUGUUUUAUAAAAACUAGUAAUGCUUAGUCAUGCUUAUAGAUUAAGAAAAAUAUUUUUGAUCUAUGACUCAUGAUUUUUUUUAAAAAAAGAAAAAGGGCUUGGGAUGAUGGAGGCAUCCUCCGCGGGGAUGAAUUCAUCAUUCAAGCAAGGUACCUCUGCCAGGUAUCAAAUUUUGAGAAUUUGUUUAAAAUGAGACCAGACGUUGAGAUGGACAGGUCGCGCGUCUGUGUCGAUCAAGGACCGUACCGAUUGUAGGCCUGUUGAUCUAGGACCUUUUAACUGGCCACAUACCUCGUCAUGGGUAAGCCUGAACCCGGCUACUCCAUAUGUGAAAAGACAAUCGCGCACUGGGAGUGGAGAGAUGGCGGGAGUGGCGUGUACCCACCUGGCACGUGGCUGGAUGGUGGAGUACCAUACUGUCGGGUGGCGCGGACCGGUUCACGUAGUGGAGGACCCGUGGGAAUGGUAGACAUAUGCAAGGGUUAAGUGUUACAUAUGUCGUGUGGUUGGUGAUCCCCAGCUGGGUAUUAAUCGAUUCGAAUCGCCGUUACUUCUCGGUUAUGAAGACUGGAUCACUGCUCUACAUCGUAGAUAACAAGCGAAACAAAAUUUGGAUUUUAAAAGCAACCUAGUGUAGGUCAAGUGAAUGAUCUAGAUUAGUAAAAUGCUAGAUUCAGGCUAGAAGAUUCAGGUAAUAAACUAACUUGUGAAAUAAAACUUGGCUUAAGGACCCACUUCUAGUAAGCUUUUCUGCAAAAUGAGUCCUUGAACUUUGAUGAGCUUUACCUUGAUUCCCAAAAGCCAACAUACCCUUGAGAGUCUUUUCUUUAGUCGGGUAAGUCUUGCUGAGUAAUUGCGUACUCAGGGUUUUAUCCCUUGUUGUUUUUGUAGGAGAAGUUUUAUUCCCUUACCUUUGGGUUAGUUACUUCAUGUAGAGGACUUGAAGCUUAAAAUGUUUUUAUAUAUCUCUUAUGGAAAGGUUUCACCCUUCCAAUUAUUGUAAUAAGUUAUGCACUUCGAGUACUAUCAGGACUUGUAAUAAAUACAUCUCUUUCUACCAUGUAAAACUUGAGUUCUGGAAUGUAAAGUGUACUUUGUAAAAGUCUUCUGCUCUAUCUUCAAUGUGUGUGUAUCAAAUGUGAUUACUAUAAUAUACAUGUUAUGUGGGAGAUCCUUGGGAUGAUGAGUUCCAGUUGGCGAACUCGAUAGCCUUGUUAAGUUACCCGGUACACGUGCACAGCCAUCUGAGGUCAUUAAGGCAAGGAUUGGAGCAUGUUGGCCUGAUAACUUGGAAGGGCUGUCACAGCGUGGUAUCAGAGCGAUCCCCCAUUAGCAUGGAUAUUAUAGUAAUACUUUGAUAAACUUCAACAUGAUUUUGAUUCUAAAUGAUUUUUAUAAACUUAAGAAUCUAUAAUCAAGGCCUGAUGAUAGAAGUGCAAAUAAUAUGUGGUUAAAACUAAGGACUAUCAGGUGGCUUAGUUUAAGAUGCUAACCACUAACCCACAACCUAGGAAGGGUAAUGCAUACAUGUGUAAUGUUAUUUUUAGCGCCAUUUAGUUUUGAAUGGAUCGACGCUCAGGUAAAGGUGAGUUGUGAGAGCAUGACCGAACAAACGUCGGUCUAGGGGAGUGCUUAAAUGUGGCACUAAACUAUAUACAUAUUCUACAUAUGUAUAUAUGAAGGUUGCAAUGUGGAGUAUUUAAUUUCUGGGAUUCGGUACCCCAUGGAUGUGUAUGGGUAUACAGACAUGGGAAUACUGAAAAGUGUAAUGUACUUGUAACGAUGCACCUACGCGCAGGUAAGAAAGUAAGUUACCACAAUGGGCUGCCCUGUGGUUAAAAGUGUGGCAACGGCGCCUAUGCGUGGCUCGGCGCUUAAUGAGGAGCUGGCAUCCAUAUAGAAAUAUAUGGAGUAUAAACUGUGACCAAAUGUGUGAAUUGCAUCAUGGGGUUUGGGUUGUAAUGGAAUUUUCUGCAGGUACACUGACUAAACUCUAGGAAAUUACGACUAGUUAACUCCGGAGUGAGUAGGUAUGCCACCGCCAUAGAGCGUGCAAGCCACUAUAUGCUGGCAAGAUUGUGAGGACGAAUUGGACGAGCAUGCAUCAUGACAUAUAACUUUAAGUUAAACCCCCUAUGUAGUAGCUUUAGUACGUGUUUCAUCUACCUUGUUCAUGUUGUCUGUCUUUGCCUUUCUAUGCUACCUUUCCUUGUUUUUGAAGACUGGAAGCCAAGUUUAGUUGGUGGGCAGAAUACCUUGCGUUAUAGCCAGAGGGACAUCAAAUUUCUUGGGCCGAAUUCUGUGAGGUAUUUCGGGCACGUCAUGUUCCAGAAGCCCCUAUACAAAUAAAGUUCAAAGCGUUUUUGGAUCUAAAGUAAGGUGAAGAAGCGAGUGUGAUGGACUAUUUGAGAGGUUUACUUGCCUAUCCCAGUAUGUUUUGGAUUAUGUGGAUGCCAGUGAAAAAAAAAGGUAAUACAUCCUACGUGAUCUUAAUGUGAAACUUAGGCUCCUGAUGGCAAUUAGUUUGGUUGAAGGAUAUAAGGAGAUGGUCAGUCAGACUAUUCUAGGAAAUAAUAAGGUUCGUCUACAUCAGGAGUUUAAGUGAAAAAAGUAAAGGAUCGAGUCACUCGAAGAAAAGUUAUCGAGUUUUACGAGAUACAGUGGAACCAACCCAUGGAAGAUGAAACCACAUAGAAAUUGGAGGAUUAUCUGGAAAAGCGUGUUCCUGCGUUUCUAAUAUCUUGUAAACCCAAAGUUUGUGUAGUUGUUUCUGAUAUAAACCAGCAGGGGCACACUCCCUGCCUUGUAGGAGUAAUGGGGAAAUAAGUCAGUGACGCAUUUCCUUUUCCAUUAUCUAGCCUAGAGUUUUAAAUCUCGGGACGAGAUUUCUUUUUGGGGGGAAGGCUGUAACACCCCUGGUGUUACGAUAACUAAAAUUCUGACAUGUCAUCAUAAGCACUUGCAUUAUCUUGCUUGAUACACCUAGAGUGCAUCUACUAGGUCUAAAAAUUUGGAAACAAAGAUAGUGUGUUGCGUUGAUAUGAGCUAAAGAGUUUGAAGAGUUAGUGAGUGGUUGAGUGAGAGCAAACUACUUCUAAGCUAAAAAUGCCUUGGCCAUGAAAUCCAAGUAUCAAAAUUGGACUUUGAGGUAAAGUGCAACCUUGCUUUAAGUGAGGGAUCAGACUGGAAGAUAUUUGUCUCGAGAAAGGCAAACUCAAAUGAAACACUCAAGUCCUCAACUAGCCCAAAAGUGGAGUUUUAAAUCUAGAGAGAAUUUGCUAGCGGUCCAUAUAUCAAAGUUGUAGAUUUUGGAAAGUUGAACAACUUUCAUGUAUGGAGAAUUCCAAGUUUGAGAGGAAAAGUUGGAGUAAAAAGCUUAAUUCAGUUUUGAAUCAGAUUUGAAGUUUGCUGAAAAUAAUAUCAACUAGCUGUUUUUGGGCCUUCAUAACUUUUGAUCUAUAAACAGUUUGAAGAUGGUCAUUGUAACAAAGUUAUAGACCUACAUGAGGAGUAUAAGUUUGGUUAAGUCACCUAGCACUAAAACUGUUUGGAACUUAGAGAAAACCUGGUCCAAAGUAAUGCUGUCAGAAAUUGUAGGUUUCAGACUUAGUGAAAUUCAGAUUCUGAAUUUCAGCAAUUGGAGCAAACUUUGAGCUAUUGUAGUUUGGAAUCCAAGAGGUUUUGGUUAAUGACCACUAUAGGAAACUUGUAGAAUAAGUAUGAGAGAACAACUGUUAUUAAGUAUCACAGCCCUCGAACUAUAUACAACUAGGAGAAAAAGGUGAUCCAAAGUGAGGCUGUCAGACUUUUAAAUUUCAGGUUGUGAACAGUGUCUGAAAUCAGAUUUCUGUGUUUUGAUAGCUGUUUUAGAGCCUGUUUUUGGCUGAUCUAGAGGGUUUUGGGUUGUGAUGUUUAUGAAGAAAGUAAAGACCAUAUAUUGGUGAACAACUUCCUUAAAGGGUGAUGGACAUGAUCCCAUACAAGAAUUGGAGUAACAACUGCUUAAAGUGGGACUGUGUUGUGGCUGAAACUUAAUUAUAUUCAGUUAUUGAAAAUUGAAUUUCAGUGAUUGUGACAUACUUUGGAGCUUCCUUGUGAAUAAUCCAUAAGGUUUUGAGCUAUGGUUUCUAUAGAGGAAUUGAAGACCAUAAGUUGGUGUACAAAUGUAUUUAAGGGUGAUGGCUAUGAUCCUACACAAAAAGUGGAGAAAAAGUAAACUGAAAAUGGACUGUUGGGUUACUGGUGACUGAAAUUGGUUCAGUUAACUAAAACUGAAAUUCAGUAAAUGAUGCCCAAUUUGGAGCUCAUUUGUGAUCAAUCCAAGUGGUUUUGGACUAAAGUUUCCAUAGAAAAGUUGGAGCCCAUAGUACAGAGAACAAGUUUCCUAAAGAGAGUUAGACUUGGUUCUACAUAAACCUAGGAGUAAAGUAUAUCCCAAUCUUCUCUGUCAAAGUGGUUGUGACUGAACUCAGUUCAGUCAGCUGAAACCAAAAUUUCAGUGCUUGUUACCCAGUUUGUGGUGCUAGUGUGACCAUUCUAUUGAGAUUUGGACUGAGAAUCAUAUAUUGAAAUUAGAGACCAAAUAAAGAGGUAAACGUCUCCUAAAGUGAGAUGGACCUAGUAUCAUGCAAACUAUGGAGUAGUAUGCAUCUAAACUCCCUCUGACAGACUGUUUUGGGCUGCUUCAGUUAAUCUGAAACUGCACUUUUCAGUGCUUUUUGGCUCCAGUUUGGUGCCUAUAACUUGUGUUCUGUAUAGUUGCAGCCUUGGGGUGCUAUACCAAGUUGGUAGGGCUGUAGUUGGUGACUAAAUUUGGUUAAGGAAGAAGGGUUAGUUAUUGUAUGAAAUUGUGAGAUUAAGGGCACUGAACAUGAAGAAGUGAAGUGGAGCAGUGGCAGUCCAAUAUGGAUCAAAAAUAUCUGCAGUAAAGAUCUUCACCCACUACGGACUCCAUGGGUUUCCAGGGAAUGUUUGGAUAAGUGAAGGCUGGUAUGAGGUAGGGUCAUGAGACUUGGUUUACUAGCUAAGGACUGUAUUGAACUUGUACUAGAUUGAUCACAACAGACACAUCCUCCUGUCUGCUUGUCGUCUUGUGCCCAGCAGUGGAUGAGGUUCAUCACCCCUGCGUUUACCUCCUAUGUGCUGUCCAUGCACUCCUGCUACGUGUCCAUAAUCGUGGGGCUGCUGGCGUCCCGGGCGUCCUCCUCCAUCAUGUCUUGGCCGAGCUCCCCAUCCCUUUGCUUAAAUACUGCUGCUGUAAUCCCUGCUGUUCUCAAGUUUUAGUUGUUUCACUUGGUGUCUUAGCGGUUCGUGUUUGUAAGUCUAAGCUCCUCUUCCCAGCCACCAACUCGAUCUGCCCUAGUCUUCCCAUCUCCUACUUAAGUCAAGGUCCAGUAGGCCGUGCAGUCCUAGAGCUCGAGUGAUCUCCUUGGCUCUUGUAGCCUAUGUUUCCCCGGAGUUAAUCCCCUCCCAAUAUCUUGGUCCAUCUGCCCAGAGCUUGGUGUACCAGUCCCUAGGUGGUGACCAUCGUCGGCUGUUAGUCCACCUCGCCGUGACCAGGUAACUUCAAGGGUUUCCUCAGUCGAGUUGUGCAUAUUUUGUGCUCUACAUAAGGUAGAGAAGCUCAUAUGAUGGUAAACCAUUCUCCUUAAGUAGGUUUGGUUUGGGGUGUAUGGAAAAUAGAGUGAAAGCUGCCCAAAAAUGGACUGUGAGUUUGCACUGACUGAAUUUUUGUUCAGAUUAGCUGAAAACUGGAUUGCAGCAGAUUGCUCAGUUUGGAGCUCUCCUAUGACCAGUUCAUGAGGUUUUGGGUUACCAGUUGUAUAGAAAAGUCAAAGACCAGAUGAAGGUGAACAAGCUUCAUCAGAGGAGUGGGGCUUACUACUGUGUAAAAUAUGGAGAAAUAUGUGCUGCAAUUUUCUAUGUCAGGUGUUGUGUUCAGGUCUUUUUCAGUUAGCUGAAAUUUAGCCUUUGCGUUUCCACCUCAAGUUUGGUGCUCUGUAACUUGAGAUCUGUUUAGGGUUAGCUAGUAGCUGUUGUAACAAAGAUGGAGAGAGAUUAUAGAGGAACCAUUCAUAGUAAGGAAAUACAUUGAGCCCUCAUAUGGAAUUGCGAGAAAAUAGUGUUACAAAACCCUCUGUCAGACUUGGAGUGGGCUGUUUCAGCUAACUGAAAACCGGUUCAGGGUGUUGUUUAGUCAACUUUGGAGCUCUAUGGUAAUUAAUAAAACCAGAAUUGGGUUAAGAGUUUUAUAGAAAGGUGAAAGACCAAGUGUAGGAGAACCAGUUUUAUACAAGUAGAUUGGCUUGUUGAUUUAUGGAAUUUAGAGAAAAGCCUGUUGCAAAACUCUCUGACAGACAUGGUAAGGUGCUGUUUCAGAUCGAGGAACUGAACUUUUCAGUGUUUUGCUCUAACUUUUGUGCACCAUAGCUACUGUUCUAAGUAUUUUCAGCUUAGGGGUUUUAUACCAAAUGGGAAGGGCUAUAGUAGGAGAGUAAUAUUGGUUCACAAAGGUUGGUUGGUUGUUGAGAAGAAUUGUUAGAUAUCUGGGCUUGAACAAAGAAGAAAGCAAAAGGGAGCAUUAUUGCUAAUGAACUGGAUUCAGUUAACUGAAAACUGGAAUUUCAUUGUUGGUGCUCAGCUUGGAGCUCUUUGGUGACCAAAUCAUGGGGUUUUAGGUUAGGAGUUCCAUAACAAAGUGAAAUACCAAGGUAAGGCAAACAAGUUUCAUGUGAAUAGUUGGGCUUGUUACGGUGAAGAAAUUGGGGAGAGGAAUGGAGCAAUGGAAGAUGAAUUCAGAGAACUGAAAGCAGGUUCAGUGAAUUGUGGAUGAUUCUUGGACACUAUAACUUGUAGUGCAUGCAGUUUGGAUCCUUGCUUAAGGCAUAAAUGAAGUGCUUGGUUGGUUAUGGAGGCAAGGUUUCCUAGUUUAGUUGGUGAAUUGAGUUGUGAUAUUAGAGUAUUUAGCUCUCUUAAGGUUUUAUUAGUUUUUGUGUGCACGUUUAGAAAAGUGUAAGUCUUGUGAUGCUUUUUAGUAUUUUCUUGUCAAGUUGCAUCAGCAUAAGCAUUCAUGUUCAUAUCUUUACAUGUAGAAUUCCUAGAAGAAGAAGAUGAAAUUCAAGAAGUGGUUUCUGAAGAGGAGUCUGCUUCAGUGCCUGCUCAUCAAGUGAUGGGAGCCAUCUAACUAGGGUUUAAUAGAGGGAUUUAGACCUCUGUCUCUGCAACAAAGGCAAGCCUUGGUGCAUUUGCCACCUUCCUUGUAUUAUAAAAUUUUAUCACUUAUAUGUUGCAUUAGGUGAUAUGAGUUGAAUGAUUCAACACUUGAUGCAUUGCCAUCCUUGAAAGAUUGAUUAUCAUACCUUGUUACCUGUUUUAUAAAAACUAGUAAUGCUUAGUCAUGCUUAUAGAUUAAGAAAAAUAUUUUUGAUCUAUGACUCAUUAUUUUUUU